UGGGGGAAUAUUGCACAAUGGACGAAAGCCUGAUGCAGCAACGCCGCGUGAGUGAUGAAGGUCUUCGGAUUGUAAAGCUCUGUCUUUUGGGACGAUAAUGACGGUACCAAAGGAGGAAGCCACGGCUAACUACGUGCCAGCAGCCGCGGUAAUACGUAGGUGGCGAGCGUUGUCCGGAUUUACUGGGCGUAAAGGGUGCGUAGGCGGAUGUUUAAGUGAGAUGUGAAAUACCCGGGCUUAACUUGGGUGCUGCAUUUCAAACUGGAUAUCUAGAGUGCAGGAGAGGAGAAUGGAAUUCCUAGUGUAGCGGUGAAAUGCGUAGAGAUUAGGAAGAACACCAGUGGCGAAGGCGAUUCUCUGGACUGUAACUGACGCUGAGGCACGAAAGCGUGGGUAGCAAACAGGAUUAGAUACCCUGGUAGUCCACGCCGUAAACGAUGAGUACUAGGUGUAGGAGGUAUCGACCCCUUCUGUGCCGCAGUAAACACAUUAAGUACUCCGCCUGGGAAGUACGAUCGCAAGAUUAAAAC
This 530-nucleotide ribosomal RNA is filed under the name uncultured bacterium. RNAcentral describes it as "partial 16S ribosomal RNA". It matches the Rfam family "Bacterial small subunit ribosomal RNA", at positions 354 to 900 of the family's 1533-position model. The record is from RNAcentral.